UGGGGAAUAUUGCACAAUGGGGGAAACCCUGAUGCAGCGACGCCGCGUGAAGGAAGAAGUAUCUCGGUAUGUAAACUUCUAUCAGCAGGGAAGAUAGUGACGGUACCUGACUAAGAAGCCCCGGCUAACUACGUGCCAGCAGCCGCGGUAAUACGUAGGGGGCAAGCGUUAUCCGGAUUUACUGGGUGUAAAGGGAGCGUAGACGGAUUAGCAAGUCUGAUGUGAAAGGCAGGGGCUCAACCCCUGGACUGCAUUGGAAACUGCCAGUCUUGAGUGCCGGAGAGGUAAGCGGAAUUCCUAGUGUAACGGUGAAAUGCGUAGAUAUUAGGAGGAACACCAGUGGCGAAGGCGGCUUACUGGACGGCAACUGACGUUGAGGCUCGAAAGCGUGGGGAGCAAACAGG
Molecule: ribosomal RNA, 404 nt
Filed under: Bacillota bacterium
Lineage: Bacteria; Bacillati; Bacillota
Description: Firmicutes bacterium partial 16S ribosomal RNA
Rfam family: Bacterial small subunit ribosomal RNA
Source: RNAcentral